CAGAUGGCACUGAGUCCUCAUGAGCUUGGGGAAAAGGAGAGAAAGAAAUUCUCUGGAAAGCAUCCUGACAAGGACCCACAAAGUUCAAGUUAUCAGCCACAACUCCCCAGUUAUCUCCAUCUGUGAAGUGGGAAUAGCCUGUUUGUCAGAGCACGCUUGUGAGACGUAAUUCAUUAAUGCCUGUGAAAUGGUUUGAGAUCAACGAAUGGAAGUCUCUGUUCAAGUGUCAGACAGGAUAAUCAAAACAGAAUAAAACCUAUUUUGUGAUAUGAAUGAGAAUAUGCACCACUAAGUAUUAUGUAUGAAAUGUAUUGGAGCUUCAAGCCCAACUC
Myiozetetes cayanensis is the source of this 332-nucleotide long non-coding RNA. RefSeq lists it as uncharacterized. The record is from RefSeq and is a predicted model, not a curated record. Lineage: Eukaryota; Metazoa; Chordata; Aves; Passeriformes; Tyrannidae. The transcript is spliced from 4 exons.